RNAcentral lists this small RNA (121 nucleotides) under unclassified sequences. RNAcentral describes it as "LOOT RNA". It matches the Rfam family "LOOT RNA". From Rfam's summary of the family: Latescibacteria, OD1/Parcubacteria, OP11, TM7. The record is from Rfam by way of RNAcentral.
UACCUAAACCAAGAGCUUGCUCUCGGCACGGUAUUAAAUCCAUUUGACACUAACAAGCUCGCCGUAGAGCACUGUGUCAAAUGGUCACGGCUGGAAACGGUCGUGGGUGGCUUAGGCCAUC